AUGCUUUGGUUUAUUGUUGGAGCCGUGAUUGUCAUAAUGGCCAUUUCAAAGGGUAUAGCAAGGAGAAAGAAGGACAAAGUGAAAGGUAGAGCACAGACCCAAAACGAAGACCGUGAGCGUUCACCAAAACACAGGAUGAAGAAGAAGAAAGAGGAAGGAAGUGAAAAUGACGUGGGCAUCAUGACUGUGCUUCUGUCGGCCGGCUUGGUAGAUAUAGAUCCCACGCUGUCCUCCAUGACCCUGGGGAUCCUCAGGAAGUACCGCGACCUGCGGUCAGGGUCCACAUGAGUUCAUCUGCCUUGUUUCUCAGAGCCCUGCCAUAAUACAAUGAGCGCUCUUAACGUUUAGGAAUAACACAACCGGCAAUAACAAACCACCAAACACUAAAUGGAUCAGGCACAAACACGUCUCCUAGCUUGAUCUUGGCAUCACGCAGGUCUGGAUGCAAAUACUUACAGUAUGAAAAACUCCUGGUGUUAAUUAUAUGGCUGCAAAAGUGCACAGGGAAUUUGACAAUUCCACUUUUUUAAUUGAGUGCUUUGUCUGUGCUGUGGAAAGGUUCUGAUGGAAAGGCUGGAUUCCUUGCAUCAUUGAACCCUGCUGUCUUCAGAUACAACAGUAUUUUAGCUACACAUUGAUGCUAAUUAUUAGCAUUUCAAUUUAAGCUAUUUGUGUUGUACCAACUUUAAAUGCUUAGACCUUUUUUGUUAUUUUAAAAUUGUUUUAUUGAUUAUUUGCACAUUUGUUUUUAACAGGUAUUAUUUUUGUAUUUUUAUUUUCUUUAUCUACUAAAGUAUGGUUUUUCAUUAAUUCAGAUCAGUUUCAUAUGCCAUUUUGCCAGGGGAAUUAACAUUAUGCAUUUCCUUACAUUUUUAGUUGUUUUUUGCUAUUAUAGUGUUAUUUUUUACUAUUUUUACCUAAAUAAAGUGCACUUCAUCUUAACAUUAUUACCUGCAUGGAACAGGUCUGAGCAGAGUCCUAUCAGACUGAGAUGAACAGUAUGGCAGUCAUGGUGUGUGAAACAGUGAGACUGUGAAAGAAUCUGUGUAGUGAAUCUGGCCAGAGAUCAUAGUAUUUCACAGUCACAUAUGACUGAAAACAAUUUAAAAUAAAAACAAACUCUUAAGCUUGAUUAUUCUUAAGGGAUCAAAGUGAAACAAUUGAUUGUGAUGAGGUGUGAAGUAUGUAUUUGUGUACAUGCUUGUGUAGGUGGGGUAGCACAAAUGUGUACUUAAGAAAGUUAAUGUUAAGACCAUUUUCCCUAACUUUUUUCUAAAUUUAGUGUGUAAGCCAAGUCUCCACCAGGGGGAGCCUCCACCUACACUCAAGCCAGCGUGUUCCACUACAGCAAUAAUCCAGACUAAAUUUAGAAUGUAGGAAAAGUCAAAUUAGCAAAGUUUAAUUUUAAACAUAUCCAUAGGAUACUCCUGGCUGUGCCUUGCAUACUACCAUGUUGAGCUGAUGGUGAUGCCAUUUAACAAAACAGUGCUGUCACAGUCAGAAAAGGACAUCUUUCAUGCAUCUUUAACAUUUCUAGUACCCUGUCAUCAAUGUAUAAUUGUAAAUAAAAGAAAAAAGAAAAUAAAAUUGUUUGGGCUGCUGCAAUCAUUAGUUACAUCAUUAAUAAAGACAAGGGAUUUACUUCUACAUGCGAUGGACUGGCAUCCUUUCCAGGUAUCCUGGCUUGUGGCCAUUCCUUCCCAGGACAGGCUCCAGUAUCCCAGUGACCCUGUA
Molecule: long non-coding RNA, 1734 nt
Organism: Lepisosteus oculatus (spotted gar)
Lineage: Eukaryota; Metazoa; Chordata; Actinopteri; Semionotiformes; Lepisosteidae
Source: Ensembl